This 2046-nucleotide long non-coding RNA is filed under the name Mus pahari (shrew mouse). RNAcentral describes it as "lncRNA (MGP_PahariEiJ_G0012334.1)". Lineage: Eukaryota; Metazoa; Chordata; Mammalia; Rodentia; Muridae. The record is from RNAcentral.
ACUUCCGGGGACGGCUCGGCCCCGCUCCCUGGAGGCGCUGGUGCUCUCUGGCUCUCGGUGCGGUAGCGCCAUCUGGCGCCGAGUGUUCCCCGGCCUGCGGAGGGGCGCGCUUCCUCCCGUCAGAACCUUCCAGAGACACCGCGGCGGGGCCGCCGGGGCUCUGUCUCCCUUUCUCUGCAUCCUGCUUGCGGAUCAGAUGUGAGCUCUCAGCUACUGCUCUGGUGUCACACCUGCCUGCCUGCCACCGUGCCGCCUGCCAUGAUGAUCAUGGACACACCCUCUGAAACUGACUCCUUUUCAAGCAUUUUAACCCAAGUGAAGAUUAUGUCUUCCCUCCUUAGCGGCUUUGGAAAUCAGUUAUGGAGGGCUGGCUGCUGGCUGUGCACUCCGAUGCUCCUCAUUCUGCUGUGCUAGACUCAGCUGAAAUCCUUGCCUCCCGCCAAAGGAGCCAAAUGCAGCAUGAACAGUGACAUUUCUGCUCGCCAGGGAAACAUAAAGAAAUCGCAGUGAAGCAAGAAGGUAGACAAAAUUCUUUCCAGCAUUUGAACAAAAAGGAUAUAUUUUUUUCAUCUAAGUUUUAUGGAAGUCGAUUCGCCAACUCUCUGCUGGACUUUCAAACCUCCUUUUCUCUGUCCUACGUAAUUUAAACACACUAUAAAUACCCUUAGCUACUCUGAGGGUGGGCCCAUAUUUGCAAGGCAACCACGGUUUGAGAAUAUUGUUGAAUUUGAAAGGCAGCACUUCCUCGUCCGGCACAUAAACUCCAAUGAAGGUUAUGAUGAGUGUGCCGGUGGGGGCCACGUUUGACAGCAAGACAAGCAGCUCAUUUAUUCCAAAAGACUUUGAAUCCAUGCCCAGAGUCAAAUGUAGACUUUUAUAAAACCCAGGAGGCUUGAAAUAAAAAAGUUAACCCACUCACGGUGCCCUGCUUGUUAGGGAGUAGGAAGGCUUCAGAAUGAAGAGAGGGCUAAAGUGUUUGAACCUGACCGAUGACUUUAUGGGGUUCAGCCACGGUAUUUCCUAGCUUGUCUUGCGUGAAAGUCUAUAUUGCUUGUUGAAGGUUGAAAAUAUCAUCUCUUUAUGAAAAUCCCCAAUCAUGGGAAGAAAAUAUAGAAUGAAAAAAAUAAAAUGGGAUAUAGGAGGCCUGUGGGAUAAGGCUUAAAAAACCCCUGUGCAUCACUGAAUCAGUAAAUGAGCUAACAAGAGAGUUUUGUAGCCAGCAAGGGCCCCCUCCAUGGUUUCCACUCCAGGUCCCUGCUUCCCUUGAUGAUAGACCAUAACCUGUAAGUCGAAGCAGAAACCUGUCUUCCCAAGUCGCUCUUUGGUCAUGAUGUAUAUCACAGGAACAGAAAGCAAACUGUUAACAGUACAUGCUAGAUGUUAUAAGCCUAGUCAAAAGCUGGUGGCUGGGGAGGUCACAGACCUGAGGAGCCAUUCACUAUUACUGUUUUGCUAAGUAGACACGUGGUCCCAUUGCCUCCUAAACACUCGUGCUCACAUGCAAUGACUAGUGACGCUCUCACCCUGCAUCAGGGUGGCUUAUGGCAACAGGAGGUAGCUAAUGCAGAGACUCACACAUGGUCAAAGUGACCAGGAACACUACAGAAGACCAGGUCAGUAAGAACCUGAGAGCCAGAGGUUAGGGAUGCCUGCAUCUGAAAAGAUGUCCUCUGGACAAGAGCCGGCUGUUAUAGCCAUAAACUUGGUACAGGAGGUGGAGGAGUGCUCCUGAGACACUACUGACAGUGAAUCCCUCCCCGAGGGUGUACCAAAAGUUAAUAGUUGCUGUGGGUAACGCUUUGUGCUUCCGGGUGGUGUAGCCACCAAUGCAUCGCCCUUGUUCCAGUAACUAUCCUGCCAGCCAUACUUAUGCAAAUUCAAUGGCUCACACACAAAAAGAAGACCAAGUCAAAUUGAAGGGUACUUGCUGAGGAGUUCAAGCAGGAAGAAGAGAGGAGGUGUGAGGGUAGCAGGGAGUGAAAGGAUUAAAAUUGGUUAUAUAUGUAUAUGAAUGUCAAAGAAUAAAAAAUAAUUUUAAAAAAAUUC